Glycine soja is the source of this 2025-nucleotide long non-coding RNA. RefSeq lists it as uncharacterized. NCBI's taxonomy places the organism in Eukaryota, Viridiplantae, Streptophyta, Magnoliopsida, Fabales, Fabaceae. The transcript is spliced from 5 exons. The record is from RefSeq and is a predicted model, not a curated record.
GUUAAGACCGGUCUUUAAAAUUAGUGUCUUUUUCCAUUCAUAACCAUUAUUCCUAAAUCUUCUCCCCGUGACCAACGAAACCCUCUUCCGGAAACUUAAUUUUGUGGCGCAAUUCCAGAGUUCAAAUUCGACCAAGAACAGAGCCCUAUCAGAGAGCAACAGAAGCUUCCUGAACUCUUCCAUCACCAACAUGGACUCGACGGUGGCAUCGCUAACCCAAACAGUUCUCAGGAACGAGAGCUGGCGCAAAAUGAUGUCGUCAUUGUCGUUGUAGUCCUCAGCAAAAAAGGAAAAUAGGGUUCCGGAGUGAGUUCCUUUAACUCUCGACUAGUUAAUUAAUUCACACUCGCUCUUUUGUGAUUUCCUUUAACUCCAUAUAGCUAGAAAGAAAGAAAGAAAGAAGGAAAUGGUUAUUUCCUUCAACGGAACCAGGAUUGGAUUUGGUACGCUAGUUUGGGUUUCACGAUUUCUGCAUACUUGGAAUCUCAAAUUCCUAUCUCGAAUGCUAAUUUUUCUUUUUUAGGUUUUGGCGUAGGUUGCGGUUUCGGUAUAGUAGGGGGUUUCGGAGGUUUAUGCCUUAUUUUCGAACCAUUUUAGACAUUUCUAUAGAUUUUGCAAUUUAAUUUCAGUACACAAUUUUCAUAGGCACCAGUACUACUAUAUAUGGGGGGGUAGGGGUUACCAGAUUUGUUUUCAGUGAGCUCAAAAGUUAUGGAAUUUUCAUGAGAAAGGUCUACAGUUCAACAAAGGAGGACUUCGUGGCAAGAUGGCAUUCUUGGCACAAACUAUCCUAUUCCUGCAAAGUGGAACUGGACUUACCAGUUUCAAGUGAAGGAUCAAACUGAAAGCUUUUUCUACUUCCCUUCCCUUCAUCUUCAGAGAGUUGUUGGUGGAUUUGGGGGUUUCAUCAUAAUAAACAACAGGCCCAUCAUUCUGAUUCCUUUUGAUACCCCAUAUGGGGACUUAUUGUUUUCAUUGGAGAUUGGUACACCUGCAAUUAUCUAUCAGAUUUUGAAUGGUGUUAAUGUGUUAUUCCCUAUUUGGAAAUUUGAAGGUUGUGACAAGUUAGUGAACUUUUAAAAUUAGUUUGAAUAGUAUGAAAGAGUAGCUACAGUGAAUAUUGAGGCUGAGCUUGAAUAGCUCUGGACUGGAGGAAUUAUUAUUGGGUUCUGGAAACAUGUUGAAAGAAGAAAUUGGCAGAAUCUACAGAACCGGUGUUUAUGUUUGUGAAGGAAACAGAGGUUUGUCUUGGAUUUAUGUGCCUUCGAGAUUUUUCCACCAUGGACAACAACUUAUAAGUCAUUAGCGGAUGCAGCUGCUGUUGAAACUUUUCUGAAUACCGAGAAGGUCAGUGUGACUGGUGGAAAUAGUGAGGUUGAAGCAGCAAAAGUUGGGCGUUUAGUUGCAUCAUCUUCACUUGUAAAGGGAUGAUAAUUGAACUAAAGAAAUCUUUUACAUUUUUCAAUCCGGCUAAAGUCUAAUUAUCCAACCUAAUGUUUCAUCAGGCUACUAUAUAUGGUAUAGACCCCAAUUGGGGACGCAUUGCUGCUGCAGCUUGUUACUCGGGGGUUUCAUUCCAUCAAGAUUUACUUAGGGUAGAGCUGGGGGAUAUUUUACUAAUGUAUGGUGGGGAACCACAAUUAUUUGACCGUGCUGGACUACACCAUACAACUUGUAGAAAUAGGAGUAGAGCACGAUGCUCCCCUGGCAUUGAUCAUUUUCUCUUUGCAGUAUGCCCAAGUCAAUCACGUCUAUUGGAAAUACAAGAUGAAGCAUAUUAGAUGGAAAAUAACAUCGAAUGUAUGUCCUACUUCUGUUUUAAGCCACACAAUUUUGUACUUGGUUUUGGAUCUUUACUAAAACACUUCUAAGAUUCCUAGUGACUGGUAAUCACUGAAAUAAUUGAGAAUGGGCAAGAAAAUAAAGGUAAGUGUGGGAAACAUGGUAAUUAGAAUGGCACAAAACGUACAGUUUGUAUUCCAAUUUUAAACAAUUUAUAUAAUUCAACUAGUCAAUUAUUUCUUA